UAUUUAUAUAAUAUAUUUAGUAUAUUUGACUUCCAAUCAAAAAGUUUAAUAAUUUUUAAUAUAAAUA
Molecule: transfer RNA, 67 nt
Filed under: Precis antilope (darker commodore)
Lineage: Eukaryota; Metazoa; Arthropoda; Insecta; Lepidoptera; Nymphalidae
Also listed under: 2 other names
Description: tRNA-Gly
Source: RNAcentral